Molecule: ribosomal RNA, 424 nt
Filed under: Verrucomicrobiota bacterium
Lineage: Bacteria; Pseudomonadati; Verrucomicrobiota
Description: Verrucomicrobia bacterium partial 16S ribosomal RNA
Rfam family: Bacterial small subunit ribosomal RNA
Source: RNAcentral
UGAGGAAUAUUGGUCAAUGGGCGAGAGCCUGAACCAGCCAAGUAGCGUGCAGGAUGACGGCCCUAUGGGUUGUAAACUGCUUUUAUAUGGGAAUAAAGUGAGGGACGUGUCCCUUAUUGCAUGUACCAUACGAAUAAGGACCGGCUAAUUCCGUGCCAGCAGCCGCGGUAAUACGUAAGGGGCGAGCGUUGUCCGGAAUUAUUGGGCGUAAAGAGUGCGUAGGCGGCAAAUUAAGUCAGAUGUGAAAACUAAGGGCUCAACCCAUAGAUUGCAUCUGAAACUGAUAUGCUUGAGUCAAGGAGAGGAAAGUGGAAUUCCUAGUGUAGCGGUGGAAUGCGUAGAUAUUAGGAGGAAUACCGGUGGCGAAGGCGACUUUCUGGACUUGAACUGACGCUGAGGCACGAAAGCGUGGGGAGCAAACAGG